This 468-nucleotide ribosomal RNA is filed under the name uncultured bacterium. Its description in RNAcentral is "partial 16S ribosomal RNA". It matches the Rfam family "Bacterial small subunit ribosomal RNA", at positions 28 to 507 of the family's 1533-position model. The record is from RNAcentral.
GACGAACGCUGGCGGCGUGCUUAACACAUGCAAGUCGAACGGAAAGGCCCUGCUUUUGUGGGGUGCUCGAGUGGCGAACGGGUGAGUAACACGUGAGUAACCUGCCCUUGACUUUGGGAUAACUUCAGGAAACUGGGGCUAAUACCGGAUAGGAGCUCCUGCUGCAUGGUGGGGGUUGGAAAGUUUCGGCGGUUGGGGAUGGACUCGCGGCUUAUCAGCUUGUUGGUGGGGUAGUGGCUUACCAAGGCUUUGACGGGUAGCCGGCCUGAGAGGGUGACCGGCCACAUUGGGACUGAGAUACGGCCCAGACUGCUACGGGAGGCAGCAGUGGGGAAUAUUGCACAAUGGGCGGAAGCCUGAUGAAGCAACGCCGCGUGCGGGAUGACGGCCUUCGGGUUGUAAAACGCUUUCGCCUGUGACGAAGCGUGAGUGACGGUAAUGGGUAAAGAAGCACCGGCUAACUACGUG